This 2349-nucleotide small RNA is filed under the name Pan troglodytes (chimpanzee). RNAcentral describes it as "retained intron". Lineage: Eukaryota; Metazoa; Chordata; Mammalia; Primates; Hominidae. The record is from RNAcentral.
GGCUGCGUGGAUAAAACCCAAAGGGAAUCCAGAAUCAAGCUCGGCCUCGCAGGAGUUUAUAACUUUUGUACUUUUCCCUCCCUUGUAACGAAAAGCUAAUCGCAAACGUUUCUAGGAACACAUUUUUCUCCUGAUAGACGUUCCCAAGGUGGAGGGCGCGAGAAGACUGGCCCGUGGGGUGAGGAGCCCCGGCCCGACCUCAGCGGCGCCACAAAGCGGGCUCCAAACCAUGAAGAGGGGAAAUAAUUUUCCAAGGGGCUAAGAGUUGGACUUUUUGAAGCCAUCGAAACCUGCUGCUAGGCUCUCCCGCUGGGGUUUUGAGAGAGGUAGGUGAGGAGGGAUCAAACAUCUCCACCCACUCUUGAAAGAACCGCCUUGAGCUGCGCCCAACUUCUGCAAUCCCGGUUUUCCCCAAGUUCAAGGGGAAGGGCCCUGGCGCCCAAUGCCCAGCCUCCCCCGACAACAUCCUCGCCAGGGUGCGCCUGCCCCGCGGGUCCGCUGUCCCCGGCGGGCGGCCCUGGGUUCGAGGACCCGGCUUCCCGGAGGCGCGACUCUCUAGCAAACGAGCGGAGCUCCAGAAAAAACACCGACGCGAAGGGGGUGGACAGAGGGUGGGAAGCCGCGGGGUUGUCGCCCACCCGGAGGCGGAAUGUAACGCGCUGUGGCAGGAGCCCUGAGGCGGCGUCUUUUUCCUCAGGCGCCCGCCGAGGGUCCCGCGGAAAGCCUCGCGGGCCGCCCUCGCGGCCCGCAGCCCCGCUCUGGCGCCGAGCCGGAGCCCAUGCAACCUGGUUCCAUCCCCUGCCCCUCCCCUGUCCCCGGUGCGCCGCCCGCCAGCGAGCCUUCGACGUGGCCGCAGGGGCGACGGGACCACCCUCCCCCGAUACCCACAGCCCCGCCAUGUCUGCCUUUCCCCGGCCCGGUCUCCUCACCGCCGCUGCCGCCGCCGCUCUCCGGCCGGAGAUUCGGCGGCCCAGACCGUGUCCUGGCCGGGAACUGAGGGCUCCGCCUCAACGGGCCCGCGCUGGGCAACAGGGAGCGCAGCGAGCCUCGUCCGGCGCGUGCGGCUCCCGCGUCGUCGGGCGGCCAAGCGCGCGUUGAGAGGACUGGCGGGCGGACGAGCGCGCACACGAGUGAGCGCAGCCCCAAAGCGGCGCGCAGGGGGCUCGCGGCCCGGAAGAGGGGAGGGGCGAUGACCCGGGAAAGGGUUGGCGCCGCGCGGGAUCGGCUCGCGCGCCUGAGGGGCGGUGCCGGGGGCGGGGCUUCGCCGCGAGGCCACCCCGGAGCCCCGGGCCUAGCCGCACGGGAGGCGACACAUCCUCACCCUGCCCUGAGCCUGGCGCAGACCCUCGACCGCGACGGCGCGGUCCGCAGAACCGCGGGCUACCCUCCCCGGCAAAAAGCGGCGCUGAGGGCCUGUGGGACCCCCCGCCCGGCCGCCCUACGUGCGUCAGCGCCUUCGGGGGUCGCGCGGGCUUGGUCCUUUCGGCUGUCUCGGCCUUUUUGUUUCCCCCUCAGGUCUCUCCACGCUGCACUUGACACCCUCAGGGCGGGAUGGCGAGUUCUAGACCCAGCUCUCUAGACCCGGGGCUUCAUGGGGGACACGGACUCGACGGGAAGGGGAACUUGGCAUUUAUGGACAGAUCCUCAUCCUUCUUGCUGUAGUCAAUUACACGCACGUUAACCGUGCAGCCGCCCUGCUGUAUUUUAGGCGGUUGUUGGCACUCCUAGUUGGGCCCUUCCCGGGCCCCUCACAGCAGGGCCUGCCUCCUGUGGACGCUUGUGUGCUGCCCUGGCACCGGCCACUGUGUUUUGCAUAAAGGAGAGGCUCCAAAGAUGUUGGCCAAAGGAAUGAAGCCUUCAGAGUCCAGGCUUUCUAUUUCUGAGACACUCUACUCAAGGACUUCCCAGAUGCAAAGCUUCAUCUUUGAGCAAAUACAAAUAUGGAGAGGGAACAUUAACUUUCUGAAGAAAAGAAGGAACAUCUUUUCAACCUUUUAUAUUGAGUUAGCACCAUGGUCUUAGUUUUGUGAAAGCACUUUAAUACAUCCAACUAGCGGGAGGAAUACAAGAUAUUCCUACCUUUUUAUUAUUAUUAUUAAAAGAGGGCUAAACCAUGUUGUAAACUACUUAAGAACUGAAUGUUCAAGUUGUACAGUAUAUUGGCCAGAUUCCUUACUGCCCACUAGGCUUGGGAGCAUGUUUUCAGCUCAGUUUUAUGAAUGUUUUAAAUUUGUAUUACUGAUCUUUGUUAUAGCCAAUUAGCAAUUCAAAAUGGUAAUUUUUUUAGCAGUAAUAAAUAUACCAUCCCCCAAACAGUACAAUAAACUUUAUUUGUAAAAAAAAAAAAAA